UGGGGAAUUUUGGACGAAUUGGGGGCAACCCGAUCGAUCCAGCAAUGCCGCGUGUGUGAAGAAGGCCUUCGGGUUGUAAAGCACUUUUGUCCGGAAAGAAAACGUCGUGGUUAAUACCCGUGGCGGCUGACGGUACCGGAAGAAUAAGCACCGGCUAACUACGUGCCAGCAGCCGCGGUAAUACGUAGGGUGCAAGCGUUAAUCGGAAUUACUGGGCGUAAAGCGUGCGCAGGCGGUCCGCUAAGACAGAUGUGAAAUCCCCGGGCUUAACCUGGGAACUGCAUUUGUGACUGGCGGGCUAGAGUAUGGCAGAGGGGGGUAGAAUUCCACGUGUAGCAGUGAAAUGCGUAGAGAUGUGGAGGAAUACCGAUGGCGAAGGCAGCCCCCUGGGCCAAUACUGACGCUCAUGCACGAAAGCGUGGGGAGCAAACAGGAUUCAGAUACCCU
This 447-nucleotide ribosomal RNA is filed under the name uncultured bacterium. Its description in RNAcentral is "partial 16S ribosomal RNA". It matches the Rfam family "Bacterial small subunit ribosomal RNA", at positions 355 to 788 of the family's 1533-position model. The record is from RNAcentral.